Molecule: long non-coding RNA, 320 nt
Organism: Brienomyrus brachyistius
Lineage: Eukaryota; Metazoa; Chordata; Actinopteri; Osteoglossiformes; Mormyridae
Exons: 3
Source: RefSeq, a predicted model, not a curated record
GUUAUCUUUUGGUUCGACUUCUGAGGUUCAGAUCGAGUGCUAGGUAGUUUUUUCGAACUGGUUGGUUCGACUUUUAAGAAAUUCGAGUUCUAAUAAGUUCGAGUACCGAGCUUGGUGCCUCUCCUUCAUUUUGUCGAGCGGAGCUGUAGUAGGCAGAAGCACUGGUUUCGCUGCUUCAUCUUUUCUCCUGUUUUAUAGGGAUUCAAUCUGAUAAUGGUCCGUGACUGGGACUUGUUACAGAUUUUUGGGGGCUCGUCCAGGAUCAGCGCCGCCUGUGUUUGGAGGACGUCGUUGAUCCAAUGAUCCAUGAACCUGUGGAC